Molecule: non-coding RNA, 69 nt
Organism: Podarcis lilfordi (Lilford's wall lizard)
Lineage: Eukaryota; Metazoa; Chordata; Lepidosauria; Squamata; Lacertidae
Source: the annotation of a GenBank genome assembly
GGGUAGCUCAGUCAGUAGAGCAUGAGAUUCUUAAUCUCAGGGUCAUGAAUUUGAGCCCCACGUUGGGCA